GAUGAACGCUGGCGGCGUGCCUAAUACAUGCAAGUCGAGCGAACAGGCGAGGAGCUUGCUCCUCUGACGUUAGCGGCGGACGGGUGAGUAACACGUGGAUAACCUACCUAUAAGACUGGGAUAACUUCGGGAAACCGGAGCUAAUACCGGAUAAUAUAUUGAACCGCAUGGUUCAAUAGUGAAAGACGGUUUUGCUGUCACUUAUAGAUGGAUCCGCGCCGCAUUAGCUAGUUGGUAAGGUAACGGCUUACCAAGGCAACGAUGCGUAGCCGACCUGAGAGGGUGAUCGGCCACACUGGAACUGAGACACGGUCCAGACUCCUACGGGAGGCAGCAGUAGGGAAUCUUCCGCAAUGGGCGAAAGCCUGACGGAGCAACGCCGCGUGAGUGAUAAAGGUCUUCGGAUCGUAAAACUCUGUUAUUAGGGAAGAACAAAUGUGUAAGUAACUAUGCACGUCUUGACGGUACCUAAUCAGAAAGCCACGGCUAACUACGUG
This 497-nucleotide ribosomal RNA is filed under the name uncultured bacterium. RNAcentral describes it as "partial 16S ribosomal RNA". It matches the Rfam family "Bacterial small subunit ribosomal RNA", at positions 28 to 507 of the family's 1533-position model. The record is from RNAcentral.